ACAUGAUGAAACCAAACUGAAAAGGCUGGAAUUACCGGCAGAUCAUUCAGUGGUGACUAACUGGUUUUCUGAUC
Molecule: small nucleolar RNA, 74 nt
Organism: Protopterus annectens (West African lungfish)
Lineage: Eukaryota; Metazoa; Chordata; Ceratodontiformes; Protopteridae
Source: RefSeq, a predicted model, not a curated record